UUGACCCGGCGAUGUCCGAAUGGGGAAACCCAGUGUGUUCCGACACACUAUCGUUAACUGAAUACAUAGGUUAACGAGGCGAACCGGGGGAACUGAAACAUCUAAGUACCCCGAGGAAAAGAAAUCAACCGAGAUUCCCCCAGUAGCGGCGAGCGAACGGGGAGCAGCCCGGAGUCUGAAUCAGCUUGUGUGUUAGUGGAACGGUCUGGAAAGUCCGACGGUACAGGGUGAUAGUCCCGUACACGAAAACACACUGGUUGUGAACUCGAAGAGUAGGGCGGGACACGUGGUAUCCUGUCUGAAUAUGGGGGGACCAUCCUCCAAGGCUAAAUACUCCUGACUGACCGAUAGUGAACCAGUACCGUGAGGGAAAGGCGAAAAGAACCCCGGCGAGGGGAGUGAAAAAGAACCUGAAACCGUGUACGUACAAGCAGUGGGAGCACCUUCGGGUGUGACUGCGUACCUUUUGUAUAAUGGGUCAGCGACUUAUAUUCUGUAGCAAGGUUAACCGUAUAGGGGAGCCGAAGGGAAACCGAGUCUUAACUGGGCGUUAAGUUGCAGGGUAUAGACCCGAAACCCGGUGAUCUAGCCAUGGGCAGGUUGAAGGUUGGGUAACACUAACUGGAGGACCGAACCGACUAAUGUUGAAAAAUUAGCGGAUGACCUGUGGCUGGGGGUGAAAGGCCAAUCAAACCGGGAGAUAGCUGGUUCUCCCCGAAAGCUAUUUAGGUAGCGCCUCGUGAACUCAUCUUCGGGGGUAGAGCACUGUUUCGGCUAGGGGGCCAUCCCGGCUUACCAACCCGAUGCAAACUACGAAUACCGAAGAAUGUUAUCACGGGAGACACACGGCGGGUGCUAACGUCCGUCGUGAAGAGGGAAACAACCCAGACCGCCAGCUAAGGUCCCAAAGUCAUGGUUAAGUGGGAAACGAUGUGGGAAGGCACAGACAGCCAGGAUGUUGGCUUAGAAGCAGCCAUCAUUUAAAGAAAGCGUAAUAGCUCACUGGUCGAGUCGGCCUGCGCGGAAGAUGUAACGGGGCUAAACCAUGCACCGAAGCUGCGGCAGCGACGCUUAUGCGUUGUUGGGUAGGGGAGCGUUCUGUAAGCCGUUGAAGGUGUGCUGUGAGGCAUGCUGGAGGUAUCAGAAGUGCGAAUGCUGACAUAAGUAACGAUAAAGCGGGUGAAAAGCCCGCUCGCCGGAAGACCAAGGGUUCCUGUCCAACGUUAAUCGGGGCAGGGUGAGUCGACCCCUAAGGCGAGGCCGAAAGGCGUAGUCGAUGGGAAACAGGUUAAUAUUCCUGUACUUGGUGUUACUGCGAAGGGGGGACGGAGAAGGCUAUGUCAGCCGGGCGACGGUUGUCCCGGUUUAAGCAUGUAGGCGGAGGUUCCAGGUAAAUCCGGUACCUUUUAACGCUGAGGUGUGAUGACGAGGCACUACGGUGCUGAAGUGAUAAAUGCCCUGCUUCCAGGAAAAGCCUCUAAGCAUCAGGUAACACGAAAUCGUACCCCAAACCGACACAGGUGGUCAGGUAGAGAAUACCAAGGCGCUUGAGAGAACUCGGGUGAAGGAACUAGGCAAAAUGGUGCCGUAACUUCGGGAGAAGGCACGCUGAUA
Molecule: ribosomal RNA, 1614 nt
Filed under: Enterobacter cloacae complex sp. 742-ADZ3-9B
Lineage: Bacteria; Pseudomonadati; Pseudomonadota; Gammaproteobacteria; Enterobacterales; Enterobacteriaceae
Description: partial 23S ribosomal RNA
Rfam family: Bacterial large subunit ribosomal RNA
Source: RNAcentral